RNAcentral lists this ribosomal RNA (515 nucleotides) under uncultured bacterium. Its description in RNAcentral is "partial 16S ribosomal RNA". It matches the Rfam family "Bacterial small subunit ribosomal RNA", at positions 28 to 523 of the family's 1533-position model. The record is from RNAcentral.
GAUGAACGCUGGCGGCGUGCCUAAUACAUGCAAGUCGAGCGAAUGGAUUGAGAGCUUGCUCUUAUGAAGUUAGCGGCGGACGGGUGAGUAACACGUGGGUAACCUGCCCAUAAGACUGGGAUAACUCCGGGAAACCGGGGCUAAUACCGGAUAACAUUUUGAACCGCAUGGUUCGAAAUUGAAAGGCGGCUUCGGCUGUCACUUAUGGAUGGAACCGCGUCGCAUUAGCCAGUUGGUGAGGUAACGGCUCACCAAGGCAACGAUGCGUAGCCGACCUGAGAGGGUGAUCGGCCACACUGGAACUGAGACACGGCCCAGACUCCUACGGGAGGCAGCAGUAGGGAAUCUUCCGCAAUGGACGAAAGUCUGACGGAGCAACGCCGCGUGAGUGAUGAAGGCUUUCGGGUCGUAAAACUCUGUUGUUAGGGAAGAACAAGUGCUAGUUGAAUAAGCUGGCACCUUGACGGUACCUAACCAGAAAGCCACGGCUAACUACGUGCCAGCAGCCGCAGUAA